GGUUCCAGGGUGCAAUGGUUAGCACUGAAAACUCUGAAUCUUGCGUUCCGAGUUCAAAUCUCGAUGGAACCU
This 72-nucleotide transfer RNA is filed under the name Dreissena polymorpha. It matches the Rfam family "tRNA". From Rfam's summary of the family: Transfer RNA (tRNA) molecules are approximately 80 nucleotides in length. Their secondary structure includes four short double-helical elements and three loops (D, anti-codon, and T loops). Lineage: Eukaryota; Metazoa; Mollusca; Bivalvia; Myida; Dreissenidae. The record is from Rfam by way of RNAcentral.